AUACGGAGGGUGCAAGCGUUAUCCGGAUUUAUUGGGUUUAAAGGGUGCGUAGGCGGUUUGAUAAGUCAGCGGUGAAAUAUUUCAGCUUAACUGGAAGGGUGCCGUUGAUACUGUCGAGCUUGAAUUUAGUUGCUGUGGGUGGAAUGUGUGGUGUAGCGGUGAAAUGCAUAGAUAUCACACAGAAUAUCGAUUGCGAAGGCAGCUCACAAAGAGAAUAUUGACGCUGAUGCACGAAAGUGUGGGGAUCAAACAGGAUUAGAUACCCUGGUAGUCCACACUGUAAACGAUGAUAACUCGCUGUCGGCGAUACAUAGUCGGUGGCCAAGCGAAAGCGAUAAGUUAUCCACCUGGGGAGUACGACCGCAAGGUUGAAACUCAAAGGAAUUGACGGGG
This 393-nucleotide ribosomal RNA is filed under the name uncultured bacterium. RNAcentral's name for it is "partial 16S ribosomal RNA". It matches the Rfam family "Bacterial small subunit ribosomal RNA", at positions 523 to 918 of the family's 1533-position model. The record is from RNAcentral.